Molecule: ribosomal RNA, 478 nt
Filed under: uncultured bacterium
Lineage: Bacteria
Description: partial 16S ribosomal RNA
Rfam family: Bacterial small subunit ribosomal RNA
Source: RNAcentral
GACGAACGCUGGCGGCGUGCUUAACACAUGCAAGUCGAACGGUAAGGCCCUUCGGGGUACACGAGUGGCGAACGGGUGAGUAACGCGUGGGUGAUCUGCCCUGCACUUCGGGAUAAGCCUGGGAAACUGGGUCUAAUACCGGAUAGGACCCUGGGAUGCAUGUCCUGGGGUGGAAAGCUUUUGCGGUGUGGGAUGGGCCCGCGGCCUAUCAGCUUGUUGGUGGGGUGAUGGCCUACCAAGGCGACGACGGGUAGCCGGCCUGAGAGGGUGACCGGCCACACUGGGACUGAGAUACGGCCCAGACUCCGACGGGAGGCAGCAGUGGGGAAUAUUGCACAAUGGGCGCAAGCCUGAUGCAGCGACGCCGCGUGAGGGAUGACGGCCUUCGGGUCGUAAACCUCUUUCAGCACCGACGAAGCGCAAGUGACGGUAGGUGCAGAAGAAGGACCGGCCAACUACGUGCCAGCCGCCGCCGUAA